Molecule: ribosomal RNA, 467 nt
Filed under: uncultured bacterium
Lineage: Bacteria
Description: partial 16S ribosomal RNA
Rfam family: Bacterial small subunit ribosomal RNA
Source: RNAcentral
GACGAACGCUGGCGGCGUGCUUAACACAUGCAAGUCGAACGGAAAGGCCCUGCUUUUGUGGGGUGCUCGAGUGGCGAACGGGUGAGUAAUACGUGAGUAACCUGCCCUUGACUUUGGGAUAACUUCAGGAAACUGGGGCUAAUACCGGAUAGGAGCUCCUGCUGCAUGGUGGGGGUUGGAAAGUUUCGGCGGUUGGGGAUGGACUCGCGGCUUAUCAGCUUGUUGGUGGGGUAGUGGCUUACCAAGGCUUUGACGGGUAGCCGGCCUGAGAGGGUGACCGGCCACAUUGGGACUGAGAUACGGCCCAGACUCCUACGGGAGGCAGCAGUGGGGAAUAUUGCACAAUGGGCGGAAGCCUGAUGCAGCAACGCCGCGUGCGGGAGGACGGCCUUCGGGUGGUAAACCGCUUUCGCCUGUGACGAAGCGUGAGUGACGGUAAUGGGUAAAGAAGCACCGGCUAACUACGU